RNAcentral lists this ribosomal RNA (397 nucleotides) under uncultured bacterium. RNAcentral's name for it is "partial 16S ribosomal RNA". It matches the Rfam family "Bacterial small subunit ribosomal RNA", at positions 523 to 918 of the family's 1533-position model. The record is from RNAcentral.
AUACGUAGGGGGCGAGCGUUGUCCGGAAUGAUUGGGCGUAAAGGGCGCGUAGGCGGCCCGGUAAGUCUGGAGUGAAAGUCCUGUUUUUAAGAUGGGAAUUGCUUUGGAUACUGUCGGGCUUGAGUGCAGGAGAGGUAAGUGGAAUUCCCAGUGUAGCGGUGAAAUGCGUAGAGAUUGGGAGGAACACCAGUGGCGAAGGCGACUUACUGGACUGUAACUGACGCUGAGGUGCGAAAGUGUGGGGAGCAAACAGGAUUAGAUACCCUGGUAGUCCACACUGUAAACGAUGAAUGCUAGGUGUAGGGGGUAUCGACCCCUUCUGUGCCGCAGUCAACACAAUAAGCAUUCCGCCUGGGGAGUACGGCCGCAAGGUUGAAACUCAAAGGAAUUGACGGGG